UCUCAUGCCAGUCUCUUCCGGUGAUCAAGCAGUGGUAAAAAAUGUGGACUGUUCCAGAUACAAAACAAAAGGCUCUGACAUUCCAUGCCCAAGGCACCUGGACCCAAUAUGUGGCACAGAUCAUAAUACCUACAGUAAUGAAUGCAUGUUUUGCAUGCUAACUAAAAACAAAGGAUUUCAAGUCAGAAAACUUCAGGAUAAAAAAUGUGAUAUUGAGUGCACCCAAUAUUCUGAGAUAUGUACCAUGGAAUUCUUACCUCUCUGUGGAUCUGAUGGACGGCAGUAUGCCAACAAAUGUUUAUUUUGCAAUGCU
This is a long non-coding RNA of Ailuropoda melanoleuca (giant panda), 313 nucleotides long. RefSeq lists it as uncharacterized. The record is from RefSeq and is a predicted model, not a curated record. The transcript has 4 exons. NCBI's taxonomy places the organism in Eukaryota, Metazoa, Chordata, Mammalia, Carnivora, Ursidae.